This 23-nucleotide non-coding RNA is filed under the name Arabidopsis thaliana (thale cress). Lineage: Eukaryota; Viridiplantae; Streptophyta; Magnoliopsida; Brassicales; Brassicaceae. The record is from RNAcentral.
CUUGGGUUCAAAUUUUCUACGCC